This 278-nucleotide ribosomal RNA is filed under the name uncultured bacterium. Its description in RNAcentral is "partial 16S ribosomal RNA". It matches the Rfam family "Bacterial small subunit ribosomal RNA", at positions 511 to 788 of the family's 1533-position model. The record is from RNAcentral.
GCAGCCGCGGUAAUACGUAGGGGGCAAGCGUUAUCCGGAUUUACUGGGUGUAAAGGGAGCGUAGACGGUUGUGCAAGUCUGAAGUGAAAGCCCGGGGCUCAACCCCGGGACUGCUUUGGAAACUGUAUAACUAGAGUGCAGGAGAGGUAAGCGGAAUUCCUAGUGUAGCGGUGAAAUGCGUAGAUAUUAGGAGGAACACCAGUGGCGAAGGCGGCUUACUGGACUGUAACUGACGUUGAGGCUCGAAAGCGUGGGGAGCAAACAGGAUUAGAUACCCC